GACGAACGCUGGCGGCGUGCUUAACACAUGCAAGUCGAACGGACAGACCCUGCUUUUGUGCCGUGCUCGUUUGGCGCACGGGUGUGUAAAACGCGAGUAACAUGCCCCUGAAUUUGGGAUAACUUCUCGGGAAUGCGGAUCAUACCCGAUAGAAUCUCCUGCUGCACAUGGUUGGAUAGAGAAAUUCGGCGGUUGGGGAUGGAAUAGCGGCUUAUCAGCUUGUUUGUGGGGUAGUGGCUUACCAGGGCUUUGACGGGUAGCCGGCCUGAGAGGGCGACCGGCCACAUGGGGACUGAGAUACGGCGCAGACUCCUACGGGAGGCAGCAGUGGGGAAUAUUGCACAAUGGGCGGAAGCCUGAUGCAGCAACGCCGCGUGCGGGAUGACGGCCUUCGGGUUGUAAACCGCUUUCGCCUGUGACGAAGCGUGAGUGACGGUAAUGGGUAAAGAAGCACCGGCUAACUACGUG
This 468-nucleotide ribosomal RNA is filed under the name uncultured bacterium. RNAcentral's name for it is "partial 16S ribosomal RNA". It matches the Rfam family "Bacterial small subunit ribosomal RNA", at positions 28 to 507 of the family's 1533-position model. The record is from RNAcentral.